RNAcentral lists this ribosomal RNA (235 nucleotides) under uncultured bacterium. Its description in RNAcentral is "partial 16S ribosomal RNA". It matches the Rfam family "Bacterial small subunit ribosomal RNA", at positions 97 to 334 of the family's 1533-position model. The record is from RNAcentral.
GGCGGACGGGUGAGUAAUGUAUAGUUAAUCUGCCCUUUAGAGGGGGAUAACAGUUGGAAACGACUGCUAAUACCCCAUACUCCUUUUAUAUUAAUUGUAAUUGGGAAACGUUUUCUCGCUAAAGGAUGAGACUAUAUGGUAUCAGGUAGUUGGUGGGGUAAGAGCCUACCAAGCCAAUGACGCCUAGCUGGUCUGAGAGGAUGAUCAGCCACACUGGAACUGAGACACGGUCCAG